UUGAUUAGGAUUUUUUUAGAAUUUGGUUAGGAUUUAGUUAGGAUUUGGUUAAGAUUUUUUUAGGAUUUGUUUAGGAUUUGACUAGGAUUUGGUUAAGGUUUGUUUAGGAUAUGAUUAGGAUUUGCUUAGGAUUUGACUAGAAUUUGAUUAAAAUUUGAUUAGAUUUUGAUUAGGAUUUAAUUAAGAUUUCUAUUAUGAUAUUGUAUUAAAGUUUUUAUUUUAGUAUAUUUUUGAAUUUUUAUAUUAUUUCUUUAUAACUCUUUAAAAAAAUUCUAUG
This 277-nucleotide long non-coding RNA is filed under the name Physcomitrium patens. Its description in RNAcentral is "long non-coding RNA (PPAT_LNC000288)". The record is from RNAcentral. Lineage: Eukaryota; Viridiplantae; Streptophyta; Bryopsida; Funariales; Funariaceae.